RNAcentral lists this ribosomal RNA (492 nucleotides) under Gloydius strauchi (Strauch's pitviper). RNAcentral's name for it is "partial 12S ribosomal RNA". Lineage: Eukaryota; Metazoa; Chordata; Lepidosauria; Squamata; Viperidae. The record is from RNAcentral.
GCCUAGCCGUAACACACAAUUAAACUACCAAUUGUCCGCCAAACAACUACGAGCCAUACUUGAAACUUAAAAGACUUGACGGUACUUCAUCACGGCCUAGAGGAGCCUGUCCAAUAACCGACAAUCCACGAUUAACCCAACCCCUUCUUGCCCAACAGUCUAUAUACCGCCGUCGCCAGCUUACCUUGUAAAAGAAAUAAAGUGAGCUAAAUAGUACAACACUAAAACGACAGGUCGAGGUGUAACUUAUGAAGGGGCCAAGAUGGGCUACAUUCUCCAACCGAGAAUACGCAUAACACUAUGAAAUUAGUGUUUGAAGGCGGAUUUAGCAGUAAGAUAAGAAUAAAAUACUUAACUGAACACAACGCAAUGAAGUGCGUACACACCGCCCGUCAUCCCUGCCACCAUAAUAUAAACCUUAAUAAACUAACCAAAAAAAUCAAACAGGGCAAGUCGUAACAUGGUAAGUGUACUGGAAAGUGUACUUAGAAA